CAUCCCGUGCUGUGCUGCACAGAGCCGGUUUACAAACAGCCAGAUCACAGCCCCUGUGCUUCAGAUCAGUGACAACCCGUCCAUAGGCCAGAAGCGUCAUGUUGCAUGUUCUCAUGGGGUGAGAAAUGGGAAGGAAAAGAGAGUAACCUCCGAGGGAUCUUUUGUCAGGGCUAUAAAUACAGCGCUUUCCCAUUCGCUACUUCAGUGCUUCUCCGCCACGGUGCGUCCAAAGCCCGACAGUCACGGCUGAAAAGUUGGUAUUUUUCGCUGCAAUUUUGGAAACCUCAAGUAAAAGUUUUAUGGGCACAAAAUUCUUAUUUUAAUCCCAACCAGUUUGCCAGGCACUGGUGAAAAUGCCUAGAAAGGAUCGGCAGACGACCAGCCGACACCCCGGCCAACUGCGACCCGCCUGUCAGCUCGAGUCAGAGGACCUGGAAGCUGGAGGAGACCCUCCCUGACUUCCCCAAGGGACCAGCUAGAGACUCAGUGGCAGGCAGCAUCGCAUCCCACGUCAGUUACACCCAAAUCGACCAAGACCUCAACUCCAGUAUUUUGGUAUUUUGAGACAGAGCGCUAAAAGGGUGAGGAGUCAGUGGCUGAUGGUUUAUACAUUUGAACCCAAGGAGGAGUGUAACUGAGGCCUGUCGCACCACCACUGCUUAUGGCGCAGGCUGCUGUUCCUGCCAACUCUCGUGUGGGCGAAAGUGCCACUCUCACAGCUCAGCGGCCCUCCUAGAUGACUCACUGCUCAAAACAGUUCUCAUCGUGCUUCUGAGCACAGGAGCCAUUUUGGACAAGUUUUGUUUUCUCUGUCAGUCUGACUCCAAAGAACGGUUUGGAUUUUUUAUCGGCUACAUAUUUGAGAGUUUCUCUGUUCAAGAACUCCUCCUCGAUGUAUCCUGGGACUGACAUGACUGUCCCACUGGAUAUGGUAAGCACAGACUGCACUAGCUCUGUUCUGAGGAACUCCAGCAAAAUAAUCAUCAUGACUGAUUUGGUCUUGAAGUGGUGAGAUUUUUGUUUCUACGCCGUUUCUGAUAAAAGGUAACUUUAUCCAAGUCAUGUAACUAUUUGAUAAAUUUGUUUCUAGCAAAAACUUUGCAGAAUUGCUUCUUUUUCAGAGCCAAUGAACUUUUGUGAUAUAUGAAGAUGGGACUGUUUUUAGUAUGUGACCCUACUUAGCAAAAACGAUUUCAUAACUUGUCUACUUUUGCCAGGCCUCAAAUAAAUGAAGUGGAAUACAAAACAAACCAUCUGUUUCUUUGCCUAACUGCUUAAUAUGGGAGUCAGGUUCUAACCAAAUAUAUUUAGGAAGUCUUUUCAGGAAUUUGUUAGGCUGAAUGCAACUAAUCAAGGCAGCAAAACCCUUAUGUAUUUUCAAGGUGACCUCUUUGUUUGACCUGAAAAGUUGGUAUAUUAUUUUAAGUACUUUCACUACAUAGCUUUGGCAUUUGUAGAUUUAACCUUCCUUUUCUAACAUCAGUGUUUCAAGAAAGUGUAGGUAUGCUUGUGAGGAAUGCCAUGGAAAGUAAUUCACAUAAAGCUAUGACUAACUGCUACAUAGCAGUCACAGUUACGGUGUGUACUAUCCACGAGUCAAAACAGAACACUGCUGACCCCUCUGCAUUCAUUUGCCAUUUUUACCCACUUUACAGACUGGAUUUUUAAAAUCAAACAUCUACUCAUACCUCGAUGAACAUAAGAAACAGCUCUGCAAAUACAGACAGACACGUUCUGAGCUCUGCUAACAGCUCUAGGCUUCAAAGGCUCAAAGAAUUGAAGAUGAAAAGAAGAAACGUUCUUCUCGCAGCUUGAGGAGCUCUAGCAAUAUGUCUAAGGAAGACAUGGACGUUUAUGGGGGGGAACCCAACUUUCUGAUUGCCAGCCACAGCUAAAUGUUUGCAAUCACCACGUUACCUAGAGAGUUCAGCUGUGUGCUGAGAGAAGCGCCCCCCUUGGUUCCUAUGCCGCCAGUGUGUCAGCUACACAGCUGCAUCACCUUCACCACAGCGGCCUGCAACUUCCCUACUGACAGUGCCUGAGCGAAGGCAUCUUUCACACUGUGGCUUUUGGCACACACGUACAAUGUCUUCAUUCCUCAAAGUAAGGCAAAUGCUUUCCUACAAUCCAAUAUCCUCUCAGACUGCUGCGAGCGAACCCCACCCUUGAAUUAGCAUGGCUAGCAAGCACCCUUCAUCUUCCCUACGGUCAGAACAGCCGCUUCUCGCUGGGUCACAAAGAUGUCUCUGCCGUCACGUGAAAAGCAGCCGCAGACCCAGCACAGCAGCUGCUUAGCAGUCCCACGACAGACACAGAAACUACACCUCCCAUUGGUGUUUGGGAAACGUCAGUGGGCAGAAGGGAGCACGAGUGCUCUGAGGGUGAAGGAGAAACGGAAUGAAAAGAUUGAAAAGCAGAUUGAGGCGGAUUGCCCUGGCUGGAGACUCUUCUUUUGGGGGCAAUCUAUGAUUAGUGUUGUACAGCUUCCCAUAGGAAAUGGCUAGAGCCCUGUGGCUUAGCUCGGCAGAACCUCCCCCAUCCGCCCCCGGCAGAGGAAUGAGCUGGAUGGCGGGAUAGUCCCCCACAUCUAGUUUCUCAGAUUGGAUGACUGAACAGCACCAUCUAGUUACAGGCCUAGGAAAGGCCACCUGCACAGACACCCAAUCAAGUCCAGAGUGUGCUGCUGGCAGCCUGUCCCAUUGCUCAGCCCUUCCGUUCUCUUCAGUGGUGGCAAACCUGCAGACCUUGGGCCGCACGCUGCU
Long non-coding RNA from Pelodiscus sinensis (Chinese soft-shelled turtle), 2762 nucleotides. RefSeq lists it as uncharacterized. The record is from RefSeq and is a predicted model, not a curated record. Lineage: Eukaryota; Metazoa; Chordata; Testudines; Trionychidae.